AGUGAAGAUGAUGUUGUGGAAGAGAACAGUGCCCCGUAAGAGAUGGGGAAACCAGCACCAGGUCUACCCUUGCCCAUGGAAGCAGAUGGAAUGGAGAGGAAUUUCACCCUGGCCUCCUUCACACUAGCCCCGUGACUCAAAUGAAUGAAGAAGUGAAUCCAAACCUGGAAGUGGAUAUUUUUAAAAAAGUCCCAUCAUCAUUUUGGGAGCUGAGAUGUCCAAGUGUCACAGAGGAGGAUUUCUCAAUGAGGAACUGACCAGCAAGGGAGAAAAAUACCCUUUACAAACACUUCCUGCUAGAAGUCAAAUGGCCCUCGCCUUGCUUCUCCAGGGACGACGGCCUGGCUGAGCCGCACUGAGCAGGUGCUCUUUCCCAGCACAGACGCCCUGCUGUGUCCUGACGGUCCCGCGUUGCCCUCAAUCUGAAGGUGUGGAUAAUUAAGGUAAUGAACACUUUUCCACUAGCUGC
Molecule: long non-coding RNA, 469 nt
Filed under: Aotus nancymaae (Ma's night monkey)
Lineage: Eukaryota; Metazoa; Chordata; Mammalia; Primates; Aotidae
Description: lncRNA (ENSANAG00000039488.1)
Source: RNAcentral